UACGGAGGGUGCGAGCGUUAAUCGGAAUUACUGGGCGUAAAGGGUGCGUAGGUGGUUGUAUAAGUUAUCUGUAAAAGCCCUGGGCUUAACCUGGGAAGGCCAGAUAAGACUGUAUGACUGGAGUAUGGGAGAGGGUAGUGGAAUUUCCGGUGUAGCGGUGAAAUGCGUAGAGAUCGGAAGGAACACCAGUGGCGAAGGCGGCUACCUGGCCUAAUACUGACACUGAAGUACGAAAGCGUGGGGAGCAAACAGG
This 253-nucleotide ribosomal RNA is filed under the name uncultured bacterium. RNAcentral describes it as "partial 16S ribosomal RNA". It matches the Rfam family "Bacterial small subunit ribosomal RNA", at positions 524 to 776 of the family's 1533-position model. The record is from RNAcentral.